GUCUACGGCCAUACCACGUUGAAAGCACCAGUUCUCGUCCGAUCAUUGAAGUUAAGCAACGUCGGGCUCGAUUAGUACUUGGAUGGGUGACCGCCUGGGAACACCGAGUGCUGUAGACU
This 119-nucleotide ribosomal RNA is filed under the name Lottia gigantea (owl limpet). The record is from RNAcentral. Lineage: Eukaryota; Metazoa; Mollusca; Gastropoda; Lottiidae.